AAAACAUUAUAACAAAACUAGUACACAAAAAUAAAGAAGACUAUAUUAAACGAUAAAAUGAUUAAAUUAUUUUAGACUAUAUCAGAACCAAUUGUAUCCAUUAUAUAUGUCAAAUGCCUGGAUAUACACAAAACAAACUUUUAAAAAGCGAAACUACAAAACAAAAACCAUUCAUUGUUGUACCGAUCAAGAACACUCACUGACUUCUACGUUAUUUUCUUCGGCUUCUUUAUCUUAUCAUACACAUGCAUCUAUUGCAUAUCCCAAAAUUGUAGAUUUUCCAGAUAUUCUGUAAAGUAAAAUGAACGAAUAAUAUUAUCAAUCACCAAAAGAAAAACAUGAAGACAAACUAGAAAAUAUCAUAGUGCCCAAUGAAGACCAUACUUAAAUGUCUCAUUUUGUAUGCUUCAUCAUCCUCUUUGGCAUCCAAAUCUGAGCAAUAUUGUUAACAUUAAGAUCUUGAGAUCUUAGAGAAUAAACAGUGGAUGAAGCCAAAGAGAGAACUUUGCCAUGUGGGAUGCAUGAUCCUCUUUAGAUCCUGACAUCUUCAGAACAUAAAUAAGAUAAAUGAAUUUGAAACCACAAGAAACACGAACAAGUUAAGCAUUCACAAUCCAU
This 618-nucleotide long non-coding RNA is filed under the name Brassica napus (rape). RNAcentral describes it as "long non-coding RNA (BNAP_LNC026954)". Lineage: Eukaryota; Viridiplantae; Streptophyta; Magnoliopsida; Brassicales; Brassicaceae. The record is from RNAcentral.